This is a long non-coding RNA of Hibiscus syriacus, 110 nucleotides long. RefSeq lists it as uncharacterized. The record is from RefSeq and is a predicted model, not a curated record. NCBI's taxonomy places the organism in Eukaryota, Viridiplantae, Streptophyta, Magnoliopsida, Malvales, Malvaceae. The transcript has 3 exons.
UAAGGAGGUGGCGGUGGUGAUUUGUAGUAGUAUGGUGGUGGAGGGCUAAGAGGUGAUGGAGGUGGUGAUUUGUAGUAGUAUGGUGGUGGGGGACUAGGAGACGGUGGAGG